Molecule: ribosomal RNA, 460 nt
Filed under: uncultured bacterium
Lineage: Bacteria
Description: partial 16S ribosomal RNA
Rfam family: Bacterial small subunit ribosomal RNA
Source: RNAcentral
CCUACGAGUGGCAGCAGUGAGGAAUAUUGGUCAAUGGGCGCGAGCCUGAACCAGCCAAGUAGCGUGAAGGAUGACUGCCCUACGGGUUGUAAACUUCUUUUAUAAAGGAAUAAAGUGAGGCACGUGUGCCUGUUUGUAUGUACUUUAUGAAUAAGGAUCGGCUAACUCCGUGCCAGCAGCCGCGGUAAUACGGAGGAUCCGAGCGUUAUCCGGAUUUAUUGGGUUUAAAGGGAGCGUAGAUGGGUUGUUAAGUCAGUUGUGAAAUUUUGCGGCUCAAACGUAAAAUUGCAAUUGAUACUGGCAGCCUUGAGUACAGUUGAGGUAGGCGGAAUUCGUGGUGUAGCGUUGAAAUGCUUAGAUAUCACGAAGAACUCCGAUUGCGAAGGCAGCUUACUAAACUGCCACUGACAUUGAUGCUCGAAAGUGUGGGUAUCAAACAGGAUUAGAUACCCCAGUAGUC